CCCAAAAGGNUGCCACAAUUUCCCUUCCAUYCCCCCCCACCMAAAAAAAAAAAUAAAAACAAAUCACACAAAAAUAAAAAUCUGAUAACAAAUAUUUGAUGUCUGAAGUAAAAUCUUAAAUAAGCAAAACUUUCAACAACGGAUCUCUUGGUUCCGGCAUCGAUGAAGAACGCAGCGAAAUGCGAUAAGUAAUGUGGACCGCAGUACUCAGCGACUCAUCGAAUCUUUGAACGCACAUUGCGCCACUUGGUAUCACCAAAGGGCACACCUGUUCGAGCGUCAUCAUACAUCGCAUCAAGUCAAGGGCCCGGCUUGCAAAUGGGCUUUGUCUGCUUUAUGUAGAAGUCUAAAAGUCAGUGGCGGUUAAGUUAGGCAUUCCAGCGUAGUGGGAUUAAAUUAGCUGUUGAAAUGUCUUUUACUUGACUGCCAAAAUGUCCAGGAUUUCUGCUGGCGGAGACCCCCAGGGUUUCUGUUGGCGGGAGACCCUUGGAUUUUAUCAACUAUGACCUCGGAUCAGG
Molecule: unclassified non-coding RNA, 518 nt
Filed under: Peltigera neorufescens (nom. ined.)
Lineage: Eukaryota; Fungi; Ascomycota; Lecanoromycetes; Peltigerales; Peltigeraceae
Description: Peltigera neorufescens sequence contains ITS1, 5.8S rRNA gene and ITS2
Rfam family: 5.8S ribosomal RNA (bases 128-282)
Source: RNAcentral